UGGGGAAUAUUGGACAAUGGGGGCAACCCUGAUCCAGCAAUUCCGCGUGUGUGAAGAAGGCCUGCGGGUUGUAAAGCACUUUCAGUAGCCAAGAUGGGAUUUUUUGUUAAUACCAAAAAGUCUUGACAUUAACUACAGAAGAAGCACCGGCUAACUCCGUGCCAGCAGCCGCGGUAAUACGGAGGGUGCAAGCGUUAAUCGGAAUUACUGGGCGUAAAGAGCACGUAGGCGGCUUUGCAAGUCGGGUGUGAAAUCCCUGAGCUUAACUCAGGAACUGCAUUCGAUACUGCAUCGCUAGAGUAUGUUAGAGGAUAGUGGAAUUCCAGGUGUAGCGGUGAAAUGCGUAGAUAUCUGGAGGAACACCAAUGGCGAAGGCAGCUAUCUGGAGCAAUACUGACGCUGAGGUGCGAAAGCGUGGGGAGCGAACAGG
This 430-nucleotide ribosomal RNA is filed under the name uncultured bacterium. Its description in RNAcentral is "bacterial SSU rRNA". It matches the Rfam family "Bacterial small subunit ribosomal RNA", at positions 355 to 776 of the family's 1533-position model. The record is from RNAcentral.